UGGUCAAGUAACAAAGGGCACAUGGUGGAUGCCUUGGCGUCAGGAGGCGAUGAAGGGCGUAGGAGCCUGCGAUAAGCUUCGGGGAGCUGGCAAACAAGCGAUGAUCCGGAGAUUCCCGAAUGGGGCAACCCGGCUGUGGUCAUGCACAGUCACCGCUUCGGCGGAGCCAACGCGGGGAACUGAAACAUCUAAGUACCCGCAGGAAAGGAAAUCAAUCGAGACUCCCCUAGUAGUGGCGAGCGAACGGGGACCAGCCCAAACCAUCCCAGCUUGCUGGGAUGGGGUUGUAGGACCGUCACAACGGUACAGCAAAGGCUAGUGGAAGUAGCUGGGAAGCUACGGCAGAGAGGGUGACACCCCCGUACACGAAAGCUCGAGCUGGCCAGACGGAUUCCUGAGUACCGUGGGACACGUGAAAUCCCGCGGGAAUCUGGGAGGACCAUCUUCCAAGGCUAAGUACUACCUGACGACCGAUAGCGAACAAGUACCGUGAGGGAAAGGUGAAAAGUUCCCCGAGAGGGAAGUGAAAUAGACCCUGAAACCGUGUGCCUACAAACAGUGGGAGCCGCAAGGUGACCGCGUACCUUUUGCAUAAUGAGUCAGCGAGUUGUGUGUCGUAGCAAGGUUAAGCCGCGAGGUGUAGCCGUAGGGAAACCGAGUCUGAACAGGGCGUCGAGUUGCGGCAUGCAGACCCGAAACCAGGUGAGCUACCCAUGGCCAGGGUGAAGCGUUGGUAAAACUUCGUGGAGGCCCGAACCCACU
Molecule: ribosomal RNA, 762 nt
Filed under: Candidatus Zixiibacteriota bacterium
Lineage: Bacteria; Pseudomonadati; Candidatus Zixiibacteriota
Description: bacterial LSU rRNA
Rfam family: Bacterial large subunit ribosomal RNA
Source: RNAcentral